This 240-nucleotide ribosomal RNA is filed under the name uncultured bacterium. RNAcentral describes it as "partial 16S ribosomal RNA". It matches the Rfam family "Bacterial small subunit ribosomal RNA", at positions 102 to 334 of the family's 1533-position model. The record is from RNAcentral.
GACGCGCGACGGGUGAGUAACGCGUGGGUAACCUGCCUCAUACAGGGGGAUAACAGUUGGAAACGGCUGCUAAUACCGCAUAAGCGCACAGUACCGCAUGGUACGGUGUGAAAAACUCCGGUGGUAUGAGAUGGACCCGCGUCUGAUUAGGUAGUUGGUGGGGUAACGGCCUACCAAGCCGACGAUCAGUAGCCGACCUGAGAGGGUGACCGGCCACAUUGGGACUGAGACACGGCCCAA